Non-coding RNA from Nomia melanderi (Alkali bee), 5643 nucleotides. The record is from RefSeq and is a predicted model, not a curated record. Lineage: Eukaryota; Metazoa; Arthropoda; Insecta; Hymenoptera; Halictidae.
CAGGUAGUUGAUGACACUCUAAUAAAGGGCCAAGACACCCUCUGGUAUUUAAAUGAUUGAUUUCCAGUGUGAGACGGGUUGGAAGGUGCAGCCCUGCCUACGUUUUUACUUUAUAAUUGCCAAAAAUUAUUUCAGUCCAACCUGUGGAAUAUUCAAAUAUUUGUAUUCGAUUUCUAUUUAAAUACCUGUACAUGCGUCGAAUUAAUGAUGAAAAAAUAUCGAGUACUAUUUUAAUUUUAUUAAUUAUCGUAGAGAGUGACUAUAAUAAUAAAACUUGUUUGCAACAUUUGCAGCUUAACCUUGCAAAGUGAAGCUGUAAAAUUUCAACCCCAUUGAAUUUGUCAGGUUUUCGGAAGUUUCGACUACAAAAUUAAAACGUGUAUACAUUUGUACAGUCAAUGUAUGUUUUCCAUCAGUUUUCUUAAUAUUCAUAUUUAAUAAUUAUAUAAGAAACUAUGGAAGAGUUCAUCUUCUUAUAAUUCAAUAACAAGUAAAAGUAUAAAUUCUACAAUACUACGUUACGAUUGCUCAACCGAGCAUGUCCUUGCCCUUCUGUCCACAAGUUAAGACUUGGACUGUCCAUCGGCCACUAUCACUAUUGACGAACCAGCAACUUUGGAUGCUGAUAUCUUGAUACUAGAUCUUACGCACGGUCUUCUUGGUCAUCUCCAGAUGUUACCAUCUGAUUACUAUACACAUAUAUUUUAAUGUUUCAUGUUCCUUACCAUGUACGAAUCUAUUUAUAUAUUCAUAAAGUGUAUUAUAUGAUAAUAAUCUUGACAGUGCAUCUAAACCAGCUAGACUUGGAGCUGAUAGGAAUGGACUUUGCCCUAAAAACUGAUUUGUUGCAACAUUUCUAGGACUUGGAUAUCCAGUAUUUAUCAUUUUAUCAGGCUAAAAGUAAUGAAUGCACGUAAAUGUCUCGAAAUAAUUAUAUUAUAAAGUAAUUACAUUUAACUAGUUUGUAAAAUUUUCAAGAAGACAUUAACUCUUCCUGAGCUUACUGAAGUAAGAGAGUUAUUUUUCUUGCAGGAAAUAUUUUGUUUCAAUUUGUUAUAAAAUUUCUAUAAAAUAUAUUUCAAUAACUAAAAUUUCUAUAAAAUAUUUUAGAUGCUUAUAUGCAGACUACAUAUUAUAACAGUAAUAAAUUAAUUUAAUUUGUAAAAAGUUGAAUAAUAUGUAUUAAAACUUCUUCAAUUACUAGUAUAUUAAAAAUGUACUUUAAUUUUGAAGUAAUAUUAGCAUAAAAUAAAAAUAAUAUAGACAUGAGCAUAGUAUUGUAUUAAAUUUUUUGUUCUAUUUCAGUUUCCAUAGUUACUUUAAUAUCUAUUAGAUAUAUUUUGUAUAAUAAUUACUCUCCUCAAUUUUUUGCACCAUCAAUCAAUUAAUCCUUUGCUUAAUUACCUUUCUUUGCAUGUGAUUUAAUUGUUGCUGCAUUUGGUCAGGAUCUAACUGCCCUGGAGCAAUUAGAUUCAUUUGUUGAGACAUACUAGUUUGUAGGUCACUUAUAUAUAAUAAUCCAAAUUGAUUAUUAAUUUGAUCGGAUAAUUGAUUUUGCAUUUGUGCCUAAAAAGGAACUUUGUUAUUUGUUUGUAUAAUUACAGUAAAAAAUAAAAAUAUAUAAGACAUUUUAUAAUUUGUAGUCUCUACUUCAGUAAUAUAAAUUAUAGUCACUUUUUGGCUUUCCCAAUGGUUAAUAAAAAACUAAGAUAAUACACAAAUUCUACUAAAUUAUUAUUAAAUGGCAUAAGUAACAGAAAUUUAGAAAAAUAUACAUAUAUAUAUAUUUUUUUCAUAUGAAGCUGUUUUCGAGAAAAAUAAGUUUAAAAAUUUGAAGCUCCACAUGAAAAUAUUUUAUUCUACAUUUUCGAUUCAGUUUUUCAUGUAGAAUCACCUCCCGUUCGCUUGUAUCACCAGUUACGGAACACCCUGUAUAUACAUAUAUGCAAAAAAUAUUAUAUACAAAUAGAUGUUAUUUCAAGCAACGUAUUUAAAAUUUUGUUCAGUCUCACAUUGUUAUAAAUUUACUAUAUUGUUAUAAGAUUAUAUUAACUGGGAAAAAAAUUGAAUGUAAGAUAUUUCAUAUAAUUUUAUUUUAAAUCGUCUUUGAAUCUCUCAUUUAUUGCUAAAGUAAGUUCCCUUUAUACACAUAUAAAAUACAUAGUAUCUACAUACUUGCAUAUUUUGUUGCAUUUGUCCAGUAGUAAUUGGUCCCAUUUGAUUAAGAACAACUUGAUUUAUUUGUUGGGGCAUGUUUCCUUGCGCCAUUGGAUUCAUUUGUGUGAACAUUAAAUUAUUCUGCAUAGUCUGAGUUGGACUCAUGUAGCUCAUUGGACUACUAGUUUGAGCAGACAUCAUACCUAUACCUGGUACUUUAUUCUGCAUACUUUGCAUGGUCAUAGGUUGUCCGCAACGUUGAUUUAAGCUUGGCAAUACUGACAAAAAUACAUAAUACAAAAGAAAUUGUUGUAAAUAAAUUUAUAAUUGCAUUACCUUUUAAAAGUUAUUUACCAUAAAAUUUGUAUAUGUUUAAAAUUAUAAUUUUAUGUUUAUGUGUAUAAACUAAUGAAUCCAUUAAAUUUAUUAGCAAAACAUAUAUUAAAAAUUUACAUAUAACAGAAAAUAAAUAAUGUAUAAAGGAUGCAUAAAAUUCACUUAUAAACUGUAUUAUAUAUUUUAUCUUAAUUCUUUUGAUACAACAUACAUUUCUUCUGUAAUCUCUUGGUGUAACUUAAAUAUAUUAUAAUUUUACAAGUAAUUUUUAGUUUCAUAUGAUUUCUCUUCUUUCAUAAAUAUAUCAAAUGCUUCUUUUAAAUUAAAAUUAAAAAAUUCUUUUAACUUUUCUUCCAGUUUUGUAAUGCAUAUUUCCUUUACUUCUUCUGGUACUGCGCUUUUACAGAUGUAUUCAUAUGUAAGGUUAACAACUUUUAGAUUAUCAUCCAAUAUUAACUCUAAAAGAACAACAUCUUCAGAGCUUAUUUUCUCUAAGCCUCUAGGCCAACCUUUUUCCUUUAGCUUUAUUUUUAGAAUAGUUAGAGGUUCAUUCACUUCAAACUCUAAGUCUUUGUAUACAUCUUUCAUUUCAUCAAUUACUUCAUAAAUAUAUAAUAGUUUCUGUACAUAAAUUUCUAAUAAACUUUUACACUUAUGCACUAAUUUAAGAAUUUUUGUCCCAAUAGGAUUAUAUGUACCUUCUCUUACUUUAUUACGAAGAUUUAUUACAUUUGGAACUCUACUACGCCCUAAACUAAUAUACCAUUUGCGUAGUAGUUUUAUGUAAAUAAAUGUUAUUUUAAACUUAAUCCCUGGGAUAUGAGAGUUAUUACUGUCUGGUUUAUAAAUAUAACGUACUCUAUCAUCUGUUAAGACAGCUGUCAUACCGCAUUGCUUUUUGAUCUUUAAUGAAAUAUGUUGUUGUGGUAUUAUUUCUUGAGGAUUUGGUCCUGGUCCACUAAUAUUCAUCAUUUGAUUAUUACCAGUUCCUUGACGUGCCAACAUUUGUAAUGCUCCAAUUGGAUCUGGCAUUCCUUGAUUUCCUGAACCAGCUGUACCUAAAAUAAAACGAAAUGUAGGUACCACGCCCUCACAUCAGGACGAGAAAUGCGGUUCAUCAGGAAGCAAAGAUUACGAAGCUUCACAUUCAAGACUUAACCAAGGAAAGGUGCAACAAAGAAUUGAAAAAAAGCUGAUCUUAAUGUACAAAACUAAACGUGCUCAUGAAAAAAGUUUACCGCCUUCAAAACAUUCGAUUUGUAGAUGCAGUAAAAGUAGAAGCAAAUCUCCGCGAAGUCAAGAGAAAAACUAUUUCUACUUUUAAAAAAGCUGCUGUUCUUUCUGAAAAGUAAAUACAAGUUAUGAAAGGAUUUAUGAGAUUAAAAUCAUUGGAUGGAACAGAACCUCAGUGGGAUAUUAUCAGUCCAGAAGAUGUAGUGGUGAAAAGAAGAGAGGGUAAAUGGUUGUUCUUACAUUAUAAGUUUUUAAUCGUUCUUUUAUACAACAGUGAAGAAGUUUUUAAAAGAAAAAAGAAAAGAAUUUGUAAGAUUUUCUAUGAACCACAAUUGGGAAAUUAUUUUAGGAAUAAUAUCUAGUUUCUAUAUAAAGAUCUUUUUUGAAAUUCAAUAUUGAACUAGACCAAAGAUUUGAAAGUCGUCAAUUUAUAUUUUGCAUCAGUUAAAGAGAGAAAACUCUACCUAACAACUUUUACAACCAUGAAAAUCAUGAUUUUUGAUGGCAUAAUAUAUUAUUUAUAAUAUUUAAAAAUUUACACAAGAGUGCUCUUGAUUUGUAAAGUUAAUAACAUCCUUAAUUUACCCAGGAUAUAGCAGUUUUGGAUUAUAAUGUUUCAUCAUUGUUCCAAUCAUGUAAUGUGAUACUUAGAGCAUUUAAAUCUUUGCUUUAUAUAUUUUUUGUUCGUUUUCAUAUAUAUAUAUAUUUUCAUAGAUUUGCACAAAGUAUCAUGUUCCAGUUAUAUUAACAAGGCAGAAGAACAAGUCUUGUGAAUUUAUAAAUACAUUCUAAGUAUUUGUUUAAUGUGUUGGUGUGGGGAUGUGUGCAUGUUUUUGGUUUUUUAAAAAAUGCCUUAUUCGCUACAGUAUCAACAAUAGAAGACCUAUUAUGCAAAUCUUUUACUUUGUAAAAUUUGUCAACUGAAGAAGUAAAGAUAAAUAACCAACUUUAAUGAUCUUCAAUGAGAGAUAUUCUUUGUUUAAUUUAUAAAUUGAAAAGCCAAAAUUAAACCAACAAAUUUUCGACUAGUAUUGUUAUAUUUAAAUCUUAUAACUGAAUACAUAUUAUUUUUUACGUCUAUUCAUUGCAUCUAAAAUAUGAAAAUUUAUAUAAACUGGUUUCUACAACAUUGAAUACAUUUAAAUGUGAUUAAAUAUUUCAUUUGAAAUGAGUAAAUUAGAUUUUACUGUUUACAAUGAAAGGAGUUCAUGAAUCGGCAAACAGGAAGAGUUAUUGAUCCUCUACAACAUUAUAUCGAACAAAUUCCUAUUUUUAUUUAUUAUGGUGUACGUAUUUUAGUUAUAAACUCACUUAUUAUUUUACAGAAUUUUCCUCCAAGACCAAUAAUGAUGGGACCUUUAGUUCCAACUUGUGGUCAAGUUCCUCUUGGCAGUAAUAGACAUCCUACUAUGAUAGGGCCAUUAUGACCAUUCUCACUGAGGUUUAUUCCUUUGGAUAUGUAUAGAUUAUGUUCACCCAAAAAUCAAAGAUUCGGACCAAUGUUUUAAUGUAAUGGGCUGUGAUAAAAGUUUGCUAAAUUAAGAUUUAUUCACUUUUACUCAUUUGAAAUAAGUAAAUUAGAUUUUAUUGUUUCUAAUGAAAGUGGGAGUUCAUGAAUCUGCAAACUGGAAGAGCUAUUGAUCAUCUCGGAAUAUAAUGAUCGUGGAAGAUAAUCGUCUUGAAAAAUUUCAUUACAGAACGUACUAUAGAUACAGUUCAACUUUCUUGAGUUUAAUUAAAAUAUAUUUGUAAUUUCUAAUUUCAAAUAGAAGUUUAGACUGGAUCUUUUCCUUGUCAAGGAGUUAUAUUUGAUCGCCGUCCUUCCUGCACCCUCCACCGCCGUCGCGUGGUCGAAGGUCUAACGUUAAAAAUAUUAACACGUUGAAUGUCGUACGAUUUUUCAGCAGUUUGGCGAUA